RNAcentral lists this ribosomal RNA (405 nucleotides) under Triticum aestivum (bread wheat). RNAcentral describes it as "partial small subunit ribosomal RNA". Lineage: Eukaryota; Viridiplantae; Streptophyta; Magnoliopsida; Poales; Poaceae. The record is from RNAcentral.
AUGCUAGCUUCGCCACUGCAUACCCCUAUGAGCACCUUCGAAAGACUGAGCCGUCAUAUCAUCCAAUCACAGAUAGGUUCGCAUCCAUCCCAUAAUAUAAGAGCGUUUUUUAUACUACACGUAAUUCAAAGCGAUCAUUUAUGUAUCAUGUUUUACAUACAAUGUUCUAAAAUCAGAAUCUCAGUCACAAAGCUACCAUAUAUAGGGCGUCGUCUGAGUCCAAAUUUGAUGUCAAUUUUUUUUAGGAAGUCAAAUUCUUCGGUUGUAUGGUGCCGAUGUGCGUUACUUGCGUGCUGCACAGUAUUUUGGAAGUAUGCAAUUUAUCACCAUGUUUCUAGUAGCCUCCGCGAUCUUAAAAGCUCUGCAAAGAAAAGAAAAGAAACGUGUGAAUGGCUUCCACGCUGA